This 247-nucleotide ribosomal RNA is filed under the name uncultured bacterium. RNAcentral's name for it is "partial 16S ribosomal RNA". It matches the Rfam family "Bacterial small subunit ribosomal RNA", at positions 523 to 769 of the family's 1533-position model. The record is from RNAcentral.
AUACGAGGGGAGCUAGCGUUGUUCGGAAUUACUGGGCGUAAAGCGCACGUAGGCGGCUUUGUAAGUUAGAGGUGAAAGCCCGGAGCUCAACUCCGGAAUUGCCUUUAAGACUGCAUCGCUUGAAUCCAGGAGAGGUGAGUGGAAUUCCGAGUGUAGAGGUGAAAUUCGUAGAUAUUCGGAAGAACACCAGUGGCGAAGGCGGCUCACUGGACUGGUAUUGACGCUGAGGUGCGAAAGCGUGGGGAGC